Molecule: ribosomal RNA, 500 nt
Filed under: uncultured bacterium
Lineage: Bacteria
Description: partial 16S ribosomal RNA
Rfam family: Bacterial small subunit ribosomal RNA
Source: RNAcentral
AUUGAACGCUGGCGGAAUGCUUUACACAUGUAAGUCGAACGGCAGCACGGACUUCGGUCUGGUGGCGAGUGGCGAACGGGUGAGUAAUGUAUCGGAACGUUCCCAGUCGUGGGGGAUAACGUAGUGAAAAUUACGCUAAUACCGCAUACGAUCUAUGGAUGAAAGCGGGGGAUCGCAAGACCUCGCGCGAUUGGAGCGGCCGAUAUCAGAUUAGGUAGUUGGUGGGGUAAAGGCCCACCAAGCCAACGAUCUGUAGCUGGGCUGAGAGGACGACCAGCCACACUGGAGCUUAGAAGCGGUCCAGACUCCUACGGGAGGCAGCAGUGGGGAAGUUUGGACAAUGGGCGAAAGCUUGAUCCAGCCAUUCCGCGUGCAGGAUGAAGGCCCUCGGGUUGUAAACUGCUUUUGUACAGAACGAAAAGGUUUCUACUAAUACUAGGAGCUCAUGACGGUACUGUAAGAAUAAGCACCGGCUAACUACGUGCCAGCCGCCGCGGUAA